This 361-nucleotide unclassified non-coding RNA is filed under the name Hevea brasiliensis (rubber tree). The record is from RNAcentral. Lineage: Eukaryota; Viridiplantae; Streptophyta; Magnoliopsida; Malpighiales; Euphorbiaceae.
GGCCUUGUAAGUCUUCAACCUCUGUACAUUUGCUUGAAGACUCUCCAAGGAACGGUUUCUGCGGCGAUGAUCAACUGCAAUGCCAAUUGUUGGUGCAUAUUUCUUUGGAAUGCCAGCUGCCUUCAACUCUUCCAAAGAGAAGCCUCUACCAGCCCUCACUUUCAUAUUAUACUUCAACGUCUGCCCAUGAACAAUAGGUCGAAGUGGUCCAGCAGUAGGCCGAGGGAAAGUUUUCACAGCCUUUUCUUGACGAGCAUUCCUUCUCCUUGUUUUACGAGCAGGCUGAUUGAACCAAGUUCUAACAUAAUUUUGCCAGUGCUUCCUAAAGUGCCCACUAGGGAUAACAUUGUUAUGCUUCAUG